AGCGAACGCUGGCGGCAGGCUUAACACAUGCAAGUCGAGCGGGCCCUUCGGGGUCAGCGGCGGACGGGUGAGUAACGCGUGGGAACGUGCCUUCUGGUCUGGAAUAACCCUGGGAAACUAGGGCUAAUACCGGAUACGCCCUUUUGGGGAAAGGUUUACUGCCGGAAGAUCGGCCCGCGUCUGAUUAGCUAGUUGGUGGGGUAACGGCCUACCAAGGCGACGAUCAGUAGCUGGUCUGAGAGGAUGAUCAGCCACACUGGGACUGAGACACGGCCCAGACUCCUACGGGAGGUAGCAGUGGGGAAUAUUGGACAAUGGGCGCAAGCCUGAUCCAGCCAUGCCGCGUGAGUGAUGAAGGCCUUAGGGUUGUAAAGCUCUUUUAUCCGGGACGAUAAGGACGGUACCGGAGGAAUAAGCCCCGGCUA
This 425-nucleotide ribosomal RNA is filed under the name uncultured bacterium. RNAcentral describes it as "partial 16S ribosomal RNA". It matches the Rfam family "Bacterial small subunit ribosomal RNA", at positions 29 to 499 of the family's 1533-position model. The record is from RNAcentral.